GAUGAAGAACGUAGCGAAAUGCGAUAAUUAAUGUGAAUUGCAGAAUUCCGUGAAUCAUCGAGUUUUUGAACGCAUAUUGCGCCCCUUGGUAUUCCGAGGGGCAUGCCUGUCCGAGCGUCAUUGCAACCCUUCAAGCAUGGCUUGUGUGUUGGACGGCCGCCCCAGUGUGGGCGGGUCCCAAAUGCAGUGGCGGCGCCGCGAUCCGGGUGCUCGAGUGCAUGGAAACCACGCGCUCGUUAGGCCCCGUCGGGCGCCGGCCGACCUAAUUAUCUUCGUUCUGGUUGACCUCGGAUCAGGUAGGAAUACCCGCUGAACUUAAGCAUAUCAAUAAGCGGAGGA
Molecule: unclassified non-coding RNA, 339 nt
Filed under: soil metagenome
Description: partial contains 5.8S ribosomal RNA, internal transcribed spacer 2, and large subunit ribosomal RNA
Rfam family: 5.8S ribosomal RNA (bases 1-120)
Source: RNAcentral